Molecule: long non-coding RNA, 609 nt
Filed under: Calidris pugnax (ruff)
Lineage: Eukaryota; Metazoa; Chordata; Aves; Charadriiformes; Scolopacidae
Description: lncRNA (ENSCPUG00000014073.1)
Source: RNAcentral
GUUUUGCCUUCCAGGUGUGUGUUUCCCUACUACUGUCCCCCAGGCAGUGCCCAUCCACUGCCUUGUGAAGGAGGGUACAUGGCCCUCAACUUGCCUGGUCCAAGGGAUUCAUUUGAGAAAUUCUGCAGAAUCUGUGAUGCAGGCACCUACCGUAGUGACUCCCUUAUCACGGCGCCCUGUCAGCCCUGCCCAGCAGGCUUCAUCUGCCCACAAGGCAGUGAGAGUUACCACAAGAAGCCUUGCCCCAGUGGCCAUUACUGCCCUCCCCUGGCAUCUGCCCCUCUGCCCUGUCCCCCGGGAACCCACGGGAGCAGCACCUUCGCAAAGCACUUAGAGGAUUGCCAGCCCUGUCCUGCCGGUACCUUCAACCAUCUUCCUGCUCAGGCUGCCUGUUUCCCCUGCGGCAGCUCUUCUUCCUCCCAGCCUGGUGCUACCAGCUGUACCUGCCGUGGGCUGAACCGGGCUUUCCAGCAGUCAGAUGCCUCCUGUAUCUGCCAGGCUGGGUACGUUUACUACGAUGAGAGAGGCAAGAAAGACCCUGAUGGCAACAGCGAUCAGGACUGCCGACCUCAGGUAAAGCCUGGCUUCAAAACAAAGUUGUGUGACCCA